UGUUAAUAGUGGCCCCAAGGUGCCGCAAGGCUUAAUAGGGAAUCCCGUGAAAAUCGGGGACGGUCCCGCCGCUGUGUUCGGGGACGAAAUUCGCAACUGCCACUGCUUCAUCGCUUGAAACGGGAAGGCGCGGAGAGUAGGACGAUCCGAAAGUCAGAAGACCUGCCUUAAAAAAUCGGCCAUAC
This 185-nucleotide non-coding RNA is filed under the name Desulfosarcina cetonica. Lineage: Bacteria; Pseudomonadati; Thermodesulfobacteriota; Desulfobacteria; Desulfobacterales; Desulfosarcinaceae. The record is from RNAcentral.